RNAcentral lists this long non-coding RNA (888 nucleotides) under Chrysolophus pictus (golden pheasant). RNAcentral's name for it is "lncRNA (ENSCPIG00010006031.1)". The record is from RNAcentral. Lineage: Eukaryota; Metazoa; Chordata; Aves; Galliformes; Phasianidae.
CAUGCGUAGAAGGCCCGGAAGAGGCACAACCGGGCGGAAGUGGUGUUGCAAGGAUGCGGUUGCGGGGUCCUAGUGCCCGCCGGGAACCGGAAAUGGGUCCUCCAAACACCAGCCCCGCCCUUUCCGUGCGGGCGCUCUACCCUCCGCGCCUUUGUGGUAUCCCUCGCUGCGCCGCGAGCGGUGGCGUCACUUCCGGUGGCGCUCUGGGCGGUGCGUCUCGGUGGUUCCGGCGUGAGGGCGGCAGUGGUGAAAGUCACUUUGACGGGAACUGCGGCGAUCGGUGACUGGGAGGAACUGGGAGAGACUGGGGGGGGUACUGGGAGCACUGGGAAGGGCAUUAGUGCUUUACUGGGAGCACUGGGAAGGGCUCCUGGGCCUUACUGGGAGCACUGGGAAGGCUUCUGGUGCUUUACUGGGAGAGCUAGGCCUUACUGGGAGCACUGGGAAGGGCAUUGGUGCUUUACUGGGAGCACUGGGAAGGGUUCCUGGGCCUUACUGGGAGCACUGGGAAGGGUUCCUGGGCCUUACUGGGAGCACUGAGAAGGCCAUUAGUGCCUUACUGGGAGCGCUGGGCCUUACUGGGAGCACUGGGAAGGGUCUCAGGGCCUUACUGGGAGCACUGGGAGGGCCAUUAGUGCCUUACUGGGAGCGCUGGACCUUACUGGGAGCACUGGGAAGCCCAUUAGUGCCUUACUGGGAGCACUGGGCCUUACUGGGAGCACUGGGAAGGGCAUUAGUGCCUUCCUGGGAGCCCUGGGAAGGGACUUGGUCCUUUACUGGGAGCACUGGGAAGGGCAUUAGUGCCUUACUGGGAGCGCACUGGGCCUUACUGGGAGCACUGGGAAGGGUUCUUGGGCCUUACUGGGAGCACUGGGCCUUACUGGGAGC